UGGUUAUUCCCUGCUAUCUUGGCAUUGGUGCGCGUUAACUUCAGAGGCUUCUUUCAUUGCGGAAGAGAGUGAGAGGCGAUGUGCAGCGAUUCGUCAUGGCUGGGGAACUGCGCGGCCUGCUUCUCUCUCUGCGCAAAGCCCGAUUCUCCGGCUAUGGAAGACGCCCCCCAAACAGAUAAUCGCAAUGUCGGCAAGUAGAUGGGGUGCGCGGUUUGCGGGCGCGGAGUUCGAUACAGAUUUUUGCGAUAAAAAAAACCAUCCCAUCCUACCUGGAAAAUUUAGGGAAAUUAUGCUUUGAAUAACUAAAACGUGUUAAUCAAAGGCAUACAAGGACGGCAAAGGUACAUUCUCUACUGCAGUUGACAAAGCACCUCUGUUUCAUUGGAACCAUGAAGUAUCCAUAUUCAGGAUUUUGCUACUGAGUUGAAGCGGCACUGUGAAAACAAGAUGAUCUUUUGAUCUUUCUGGUCCCAAGGUAUUGCAUUUUGACUGAGGAGGCACUGGCUGUCCAAGUAGCUGUUUUUCUAGGGAAAGUGAAGAAACAUUGCUCUGUGGAACAACAUAUCCUGCUGAUCUCUAGAAAUGGUUAGAAUAAAACAUGGCUUCUUGCAUUUUUUCUUUGGGGAAAAAAUGAGCCAGAUCAUAUUCUUGAUGAUCACAGUAAAAUGUAACCUAUGGAAAUAACCUGUUGCAGGUUUUAUUGGAAAUGUGUUUGCAUUUGUCAAACAUCCACGCUGUGUAGCUCGUUGCAUGAGUUAAAAUAUGCAACCUCUUUUAUCAUGAAGUGUUCAGUGUUCUUAUAACCUUUUCACAAGUGUUAAAUACAUUAAAUUUGCAAAGGAUUCUGUGAAAUAAAAUUAAUAUCCAUUCUCUA
This is a long non-coding RNA of Xenopus tropicalis (tropical clawed frog), 874 nucleotides long. RefSeq lists it as uncharacterized. NCBI's taxonomy places the organism in Eukaryota, Metazoa, Chordata, Amphibia, Anura, Pipidae. The transcript has 4 exons. The record is from RefSeq and is a predicted model, not a curated record.